GACUUCUAACCGUGACGACCACGACCCGAGUUUUACUUUGGUGUUUACUGGGCUUCUUUGGAAAAGGCCUAAUUCCGGUAUGCGUAGGCACGAGCGACAUUACAGAGGUGAUACGCGUGUGUAGACAUCAGGGGUCUUGGGGUCUCCACAUCGCUGUCCAGAGAAGGAGACAACGCCCGCUACAGCUCUGUCACACACCAAAGGACCACCUGAAUCCCCCUUGAAGAGAAAAGCGUUGCUUGAUCACUGUCCAGCCAGUGUACUCACCGAGCAGAAGCCUUGAAAGACCUUCGCCCCAACACCACAAAUCAUUGAUUUGGCGAUGG
Molecule: long non-coding RNA, 326 nt
Organism: Seriola dumerili (greater amberjack)
Lineage: Eukaryota; Metazoa; Chordata; Actinopteri; Carangiformes; Carangidae
Exons: 3
Source: RefSeq, a predicted model, not a curated record